RNAcentral lists this long non-coding RNA (502 nucleotides) under Homo sapiens (human). Its description in RNAcentral is "HSALNT0217464". The record is from RNAcentral. Lineage: Eukaryota; Metazoa; Chordata; Mammalia; Primates; Hominidae.
GAAGACCCAGAGAAACCGUUUUUUUAAAAAGAAAGCAAGUAAAGACACCAGCAGAAAACUUUUGCCUCCAGAUACAAGUGGGCAUGUAGGGAGAGAAUAGUAAACUGGCUUUUCUUUUCUAGGCAACAUUCGAAACCCAGGUGCCACUCCUUCAGGAAGGUACCAUCAAGCUCCAAGGACUCUUAUCCUCUUUCUCCUUCCCCACUACCUAGUCAUUAGAGCGUCAGCAUCCACUUCUUGAAAGGAAGAUGCCUGUUUUUCACAUAUCCCAGAAAGCCCCAUUUUAGGACAGCAUUUAGCAGAGUAUAUUCAGGAUCCCACUAACCUUUUUGGAAGACAUGACUUCCAGAUGAUAUAAGGCUCCAUCAGGAACUGUGCAGGACUGUGCCCUCUGUUGAUACUCACAUGGUGGAAUUAUAUUGCCCUUGGCCAACCCUAAAGCCAUCAAGAUAGCAGGUCUGGCCUACAGAGAAGAGAGAUCAGGGAGCUCUUCAGUUGUACC